GGCCCGCACAAGUGGUGGAGCAUGUGGUUUAAUUCGAUGAUACGCGAGGAACCUUACCUAGGCUAGAAUGCGCGUGACCGGUUCAGAGAUGAGCCUUUCCUUCGGGACACAAAGCAAGGUGCUGCAUGGCCGUCGUCAGCUCGUGCCGUGAGGUGUUGGGUUAAGUCCCGCAACGAGCGCAACCCCUAUGUUUAGUUGCCAGCGGGUUAAGCCGGGGACUCUAGACAGACUGCCUGCGCAAGCAGUGAGGAAGGCGGGGACGACGUCAGGUCAUCAUGGCCCUUACGCCUAGGGCUACACACGUGCUACAAUGGACGGUACAGCGGGUUGCCAACCAGCGAUGGUGCGCCAAUCCCGAAAAGCCGUUCUCAGUUCGGAUCGGAGUCUGCAACUCGACUCCGUGAAGCUGGAAUCACUAGUAAUCGCGCAUCAGCAAUGGCGCGGUGAAUACGUUCCCGGGC
RNAcentral lists this ribosomal RNA (461 nucleotides) under uncultured bacterium. RNAcentral describes it as "bacterial SSU rRNA". It matches the Rfam family "Bacterial small subunit ribosomal RNA", at positions 918 to 1379 of the family's 1533-position model. The record is from RNAcentral.